GACGAACGCUGGCGGCGUGCUUAACACAUGCAAGUCGAACGGAAAGGCCCUGCUUUUGUGGGGUGCUCGAGUGGCGAACGGGUGAGUAACACGUGAGUAACCUGCCCUUGACUUUGGGAUAACUUCAGGAAACUGGGGCUAAUACCGGAUAGGAGCUCCUGCUGCAUGGUGGGGGUUGGAAAGUUUCGGCGGUUGGGGAUGGACUCGCGGCUUAUCAGCUUGUUGGUGGGGUAGUGGCUUACCAAGGCUUUGACGGGUAGCCGGCCUGAGAGGGUGACCGGCCACAUUGGGACUGAGGUACGGCCCAGACUCCUACGGGAGGCAGCAGGGGGGAAUAUUGCACAAUGGGCGGAAGCCUGAUGCAGCAACGCCGGGGGCGGGAUGACGGCCUUCGGGUUGGAAACCGCUUUCGCCUGUGACGAAGCGUGGGUGACGGUAAUGGGUAAAGAAGCACCGGCUAACUACGUG
Molecule: ribosomal RNA, 468 nt
Filed under: uncultured bacterium
Lineage: Bacteria
Description: partial 16S ribosomal RNA
Rfam family: Bacterial small subunit ribosomal RNA
Source: RNAcentral